RNAcentral lists this long non-coding RNA (1238 nucleotides) under Mytilus galloprovincialis (Mediterranean mussel). Lineage: Eukaryota; Metazoa; Mollusca; Bivalvia; Mytilida; Mytilidae. The record is from RNAcentral.
GUAAACAAAAUCAAUUUUCUAUGAAUAUUCAAUUACUCCCCAAAAGAGGCGUGUUUUGAGAAACAGCUGUAUUUACAAAGUGCAACCUAUACAGACAUUUAUUCAAAUAGAAAACUCUCUAAAAUCAGUUUUUCUCACAUUAAUACUCAUUUAUCAGAAUUAAAGUCUUAAAGAAAUCACUGUGUAUACUCUAAGUUUUUCUUUACUAUACAUUUUAUACCCCUCCCCUGUUUCAAUUUUUGUAAAGAAUUUGAAAACAAGACUUUAAUUAUUGCCAGCUUACCCUAUUUGCAUAUUUUCUGAUAAAAAAUGCCUAAAACCUGUUAAAAACUGUUUUUAUAACAUAUUGCAAGCAUAUCAGAAUAUCAUAAUUGUAAUGUUCAGCAGUCAAUCAUUACAACAUUCAAUAUUAUAUAAAGUAUCCAAUCCAGCCUCUAUCUCCAGUCCACAUCUUACUGUAUGCCUAUUUGUCAAUUAAAGAACACAUUUUCUGCCUCAAAUGGUCAAUUUAGAAUUCUUGUCACAACAAUAUCAUCUUUAACCAUAUAUCUGACACAAUUUAGCUACUAUAUAUACUAGAAGUGUUCAAACAAAGCCAUAUUUGCAAUAGUUGUAUGUAUGCAGAUACCAGUCUGAGAUAUAAAUUCACUUAAAAUGUUGUAGAGAUGACUGCUAACAUCUGAUUUUUGCAUAACUUCCAAGCAUAGUUAUUGUUUUCUAUAUCAAGAACUUUAAAAUCAUAAAUUCAUAGCAUUUAUAAGUUAAAUUAUUUGUUUUAUGACCUAGAGGGUAGACAAUUUGCUAUGUUUUUUGCCCCUGGGGCCUCAAAUUUCCUAAAUCAUUCUGCUGUUUCUAGCAAUUUGGAAUAUUUAGUACAUAUUCAGGAUAGAACACACUAUUGUAAGUUUUCUUGAGAUAUUUUUGUUUUUCUAGCUUGUAUUUAUUAUGCCGUGGUGACAAAAAGCAGACUUAGGUGUUGCGGCUUACUUUUGGGUUAUCGAAAGGACACAAAUACCCCAUAAAUAAUAUUCAGGAAGGAUCUAUGAGUUUCAAUGACUGCGAAGAGUAAAUAUAAGCACUUCUUAACAAUUUAACUUACAAAUAUGCAAAUAUUAUGAUUUAAUUUUGUAUCCAGGACUUUAAGUAAACUAUGCAUACUGUAAACUGUGAAUUUAUGCUGAGUCAUCAUAUUUAAGGCCCAGGAUUCUAUCAAUCUUCAUUAAAUAUUUAUAAAACUU